CAGCAGCCGCGGUAAUACGAAGGGUGCAAGCGUUAAUCGGAAUUACUGGGCGUAAAGCGUGCGUAGGCGGUGAGUUAAGUCUGCUGUGAAAUCCCCGGGCUCAACCUGGGAAUGGCAGUGGAUACUGGCUCGCUAGAGUGUGUCAGAGGAUGGUGGAAUUCCCGGUGUAGCGGUGAAAUGCGUAGAGAUCGGGAGGAACAUCAGUGGCGAAGGCGGCCAUCUGGGACAACACUGACGCUGAGGCACGAAAGCGUGGGGAGCAAACAGGAUUAGAUACCCCAGUAGUCCCUGUCUCUUAUAA
Molecule: ribosomal RNA, 301 nt
Filed under: uncultured bacterium
Lineage: Bacteria
Description: partial 16S ribosomal RNA
Rfam family: Bacterial small subunit ribosomal RNA
Source: RNAcentral